AAUUGCCGCUCCCUGCCGCGUGCUCCCUGAUGAGCGGGGAAGGGGGACACACCGCACAGUGCCUGGUGUCUCAGCGUCCAGUGCGCCCACGCCAACGCUGUGUGUGUGUGGGGAGGAGCCAAUCAGCACCCCUUCCCUCUCCUAUCCGCUGUCAGUGCGGAGCCGCUUCUCGCCCUGGCCCUGUCAGGGGGAUGCAUCGCUACGGAUGCCGGCGGUGUGGGCCUGGAUCGGCGCAGGCGCUGGAGCGACCUGCGGCGGUGCGCGCGUUUAUAUCAUCGAUAUGGUAGGCACAAGUGCCAACGUGACUCGAGCGUGUCUCACCGGGCCGUGCCCACCUACUAGGGGGGGAGGGACCCUGAGGCGCCUCGAGUGGGGAUGCGGGAGGUGGCAGCCGGCAUGAUGCGGGUGCGGCUGUGAGGCGACCUGCGCAGCGGGUGCUGGGUAGAGUGUGAGGCAGGGGCCGCACUCACACGGCGGAGUCGGUGCAUUGCCCUAACGCGUGCCUGGUAGCGCGUGGCACAGAGAGAUGGACCUGUGACGGGCCUGGCAGAGUGGAGUCUCACUCACGCUGUGGGGCAGAGAAUGAACAUGUUGAAAUAAGUGUGUGACGUGUCACCAAGGGCCUAGUGCAUCGCUCUUUCAUCUACCUUCUUCCUGUGUGGAUAUGAGAGUAUGUUGCGUUAUCCACUUCUCUUUUUUUCGGACUUUGGGGCUUGGGUUGAGGCAACUCCGUCGCCCCACUUGCAGGAGACCAACGUGAAGGAAAAACAGACUGGCGGUGCAGCGCGCGACCAGUGUGAAUGAAACAG
This 809-nucleotide unclassified non-coding RNA is filed under the name Leishmania donovani. RNAcentral describes it as "gene:unknown". Lineage: Eukaryota; Euglenozoa; Kinetoplastea; Trypanosomatida; Trypanosomatidae. The record is from RNAcentral.